Salvia hispanica is the source of this 624-nucleotide non-coding RNA. The record is from RefSeq and is a predicted model, not a curated record. Lineage: Eukaryota; Viridiplantae; Streptophyta; Magnoliopsida; Lamiales; Lamiaceae.
GACUUUGGAAGAGGACACAAAACUCACUGCUUCUGUACAAAACCAUGGCGAACAAAUUGGGAAAAUAUUGCCAGAUGGGAUUUCAAAAAUGACAGAACAGCAUCAGAGCUAUCUCACAGGUGGUACAUUCUUAGGAAAAAGCAAGGCAAUACAAAGGGUAGUACCAGCUCACAACCUCCUGAAACUCAACUUGCAGCUGCACAUCGAGCCAUGAACCUAGCUUCUAGAUAGGCCUAUGAGCGACAACUUGAAGUCUGUUUCCCACAAGGCUGCUGCUGGAAUAAAAGUUCAGCAUCAACCUCCAAAAGCCUCUGCAUACCAGCAGAUCAACCAUUUCCCAGAGUAGGGCCUUCAAAACCCCAGAUGCUGGCUAGUCGGCCUUCUGUGAACCCAAUAUCUGACACAGACUCAAUGAUCAAAGCUGCUGCAGUUGCUGCUGGGGCUCGCAUAGCUACUCCUACAGAUGCUUCUUCACUAAUUGAGGCUGCACGAUCUCAAAAUGUUGUGCAUAUCACAACCGGAAGCAUUGGCCAUCAACUUCCGAGUAAUGUGCAUUUCAUUCGUAAUGGUCUUGCAAAAGCACCGAUUUCCACUUACUCUGCUCCUAAACCAAACAUAUUAGAA